This is a non-coding RNA of Corticium candelabrum, 74 nucleotides long. Lineage: Eukaryota; Metazoa; Porifera; Homoscleromorpha; Homosclerophorida; Plakinidae. The record is from the annotation of a RefSeq genome assembly.
GGUCCUAUAGCUCAGUCGGUUAGAGCGCCGUGCUGAUAACGCGGAGGUCGCAGGUUCGAGCCCUGCUAGGACCA